GUAGGUGGCAAGCGUUGUCCGGAAUUAUUGGGCGUAAAGCGCGCGCAGGCGGUCCUUUAAGUCUGAUGUGAAGGGCCCACGGGCUCAACCGUGGAGGGUCAUUGGAAACUGGGGGACUUGAGUACAGAAGAGGAAAGCGGAAUUCCAAGUGUAGCGGUGAAAUGCGUAGAGAUUUGGAGGAACACCAGUGGCGAAGGCGGCUUUCUGGUCUGUAACUGACGCUGAGGCGCGAAAGCAUGGGGAGCAAACAGGAUUAGAUACCCUGGUAGUCCACGCCGUAAACGAUGAGUGCUAAGUGUUAGGGGGUUUCCGCCCCUUAGUGCUGCAGCUAACGCAUUAAGCACUCCGCCUGGGGAGUACGGCCGCAAAGGCUG
RNAcentral lists this ribosomal RNA (374 nucleotides) under uncultured organism. RNAcentral's name for it is "partial 16S ribosomal RNA". It matches the Rfam family "Bacterial small subunit ribosomal RNA", at positions 527 to 896 of the family's 1533-position model. The record is from RNAcentral.